RNAcentral lists this ribosomal RNA (253 nucleotides) under uncultured bacterium. RNAcentral's name for it is "partial 16S ribosomal RNA". It matches the Rfam family "Bacterial small subunit ribosomal RNA", at positions 524 to 776 of the family's 1533-position model. The record is from RNAcentral.
UACGAAGGGGGCUAGCGUUGUUCGGAAUUAUUGGGCGUAAAGCGCGUGUAGGCGGCUUUGCAAGUCGGGUGUGAAAUCCCUCAGCUUAACUGAGGAAGUGCGCCCGAAACUGCAGAGCUUGAGUGCCGGAGAGGAUGGCGGAAUUCCCCAAGUAGAGGUGAAAUUCGUAGAUAUGGGGAGGAACACCGGUGGCGAAGGCGGCCAUCUGGCCGGUAACUGACGCUGAGGAGCGAAAGCGUGGGGAGCGAACAGG